AUGGCGAGCAUGGACGUCGAGCGAAGCAACCCGGCGGCGCCGUCCUGGCAGGCGGGGCUUGAGACCGUGAAAAAGUGGCAGCGGAUUCGAUGCAGCAUGAGGAGGGCUUGGCCGGCCAUCUGCGUUGUGGCGGCGACCCUGCUCGCAGUCGUCGUGCUCUCCGCCGCCCGGGAUGGCUAUGGCUUGCCGAUGGUACCCAGCAGCUGGCUCUCAGUAGAAGAUGUACCUCCGUCCAAUCUCACCACCGACCAGCUCCUGGACGGUCUGCUCACCGCGGAAUUUGGCUCGCGCUCAUGCCGGAGCCGGUACGAGUUCGCCAGCUACCAUGACAAGAAGAAGAAGAAGAAGCACACAUCACAUAAACCAUCCCCCUACUUGCUCGCCAAGCUCCGAAGUCACGAAGCGCUCCAAAAGCAAUGCGGCCCCGGCACGGCCCCGUACAGGGCGGCGAUCCGGCAGCUCAAGUCUGGAAAUGGCAUCGUCACAUCCGACAGUGAAAACUGCCGCUACCUGGUCCCCAUAAGCUAUCGAGGCCUCGGGAACCGGAUGCUGUCCACAGUGUCAGCCUUCCUCUACGCUGUGCUCACCGAGCGCACCCUCCUCGUCCAGCACGACAUGGCCGCCCUCUUCUGCGAACCUUUCCCGAGGACCACGUGGCUGCUCCCGUCCUCAGGCUGGUUGGGUGGUGGCUUCCCGCUUGGACACCUCAAGAAAUACGGCAAGGACUCCAAGGAGAGCCUCGGCAACAUGCUCAAGGCCAAUGUGCUAUCCGUGGGCGACAAUGGGAACGCGUCGUGGUCGGACUCGGACCGGCCACCGUACGUCUACCUACACCUGGAUGGCGGCUACGGUUUCUACGACAAGCUCUUCUACUGCGACGAGCAGCAGCGGCUCAUCCGCGGCGCGCCGUGGCUGCUGAUGAGGACAGACAGCUACCUCGUCCCCGGGCUCUUCCUCAUCCCAUCUUUCCGGGACGAGCUGGAGCGGAUGUUCCCGGAGAAGGACGUCGCGUUCCACCACCUCGGUCGGUACCUAUUCCACCCGGCCAACGACGUGUGGCGCGCGGUCACCAGAUACUACGACGCCCACCUCGCCGGCGCCGGGCAGCGCGUCGGCAUACAGAUACGGGUUUUCACACAGAAUAAACCGUUGCAGAAGGUCCUGGACCAGGUUCUCUCGUGCGUCCGUAGGGAGAAGCUGCUUCUCCCGUCCAUACAGACGAACAACGCGUCUGUGCUGGUCACCUCUCUGAGCUCGUGGUACUACGAGAGGAUCAAGGCCGAGUAUGGCGGCAGCCGGGUGCACCAGCCGAGCCACGAGGGGUGGCAGAAGAUGCGGGAUGCCUCGCAGGACAGGAAGGCGUUGAGCGAGAUGUACCUGCUCAGUACCUGCGACGUUCUCGUCACCACCGGGUUUUCCACCUUCGGCUACGUGGCGCAGGGGCUCGGCGGGAUACUGCCAUGGAUCAUGCCCGCCACGCCCUUCUGGUCGACCGAAACGGGGGUGGUACCAGACCCGCCGUGCAUGCGAGCCAUGUCCGUCGAGCCUUGCUUCCACUCGCCGUCCAACUACGGCUGUGCGGCCAGGAAGGAUGUGGACGUGGGGACACUUGUGCCGUACAUCCGGCAUUGUGAGGAUGCAAGCUGGGGGAUUAAGAUUGCCAACGAAAGCAUGCAGCCACCGGUAGCUUAA
RNAcentral lists this ribosomal RNA (1692 nucleotides) under Triticum aestivum (bread wheat). Its description in RNAcentral is "partial small subunit ribosomal RNA". Lineage: Eukaryota; Viridiplantae; Streptophyta; Magnoliopsida; Poales; Poaceae. The record is from RNAcentral.